UUAAAUUGAAGAGUUUGAUCAUGGCUCAGAUUGAACGCUGGCGGCAGGCCUAACACAUGCAAGUCGAAUGGUAACAGGAAACAGCUUGCUGUUUCGCUGACGAGUGGCGGACGGGUGAGUAAUGUCUGGGAAACUGCCUGAUGGAGGGGGAUAACUAC
This 158-nucleotide ribosomal RNA is filed under the name Nostoc sp. UCD121. RNAcentral's name for it is "partial 16S ribosomal RNA". It matches the Rfam family "Bacterial small subunit ribosomal RNA", at positions 1 to 150 of the family's 1533-position model. Lineage: Bacteria; Bacillati; Cyanobacteriota; Cyanophyceae; Nostocales; Nostocaceae. The record is from RNAcentral.